Polistes dominula (European paper wasp) is the source of this 399-nucleotide long non-coding RNA. Lineage: Eukaryota; Metazoa; Arthropoda; Insecta; Hymenoptera; Vespidae. The record is from RefSeq and is a predicted model, not a curated record.
AUAUUAUUCUUAUGAUUAUUGUUGUUGUUCUUCUUCUUUAGUGAUAAUGUCGAUUACAAUUAAAAUUUUAAGUUACUGCGUACUCGUGACAUCGUUAAACAAUGAAGAAAGAAUUAAGUGCGUUUUCUAAAUAGGUUCUUUCAAGAUUUGUGUACACAAACUGUAAUCACGGUUAUCUUUAAUUUAUAAUGAGGUUUUGAACGUAACCUCUAUCCUCUGGAGUAUCGGUCCAACAAGAUCUAUCAGACAUGUCUGGUCCAGGUCUAAGUCGAAAUUUUCGCGCACGUAAUCCAAAAUCAGCUGCUCUAGUUGGAGGCGAUUUCUCUUUACUCACAGUGUCUGGGAUUAUAGCUGCAUCCUUGCGAGUAGCUUCAAAGCGGAAUCGACGCCCGUCAUCGC